GUUCCUUGGAAAAGGACAGCUGAGAGGGUGAGACUCCCGUCCGCCUGGUAGAGUGAGUCGUUGUCAACGAGUCGAGUUGUUUGGGAUUGCAGCUCUAAUUUGGUGGUAAAUUCCAUCUAAAGCUAAAUAUUGGUGGGAGACCGAUAGCGUACAAGUACCGUGAGGGAAAGAUGCAAAGAACUUUGAAAAGAGAGUUAAAGAGUACCUGAAAUUGCUGAAACGGAAGCGAAGGAAACCAGUGUUUGUUGGUUCAUAUUUCCCUUGUCACUUGUGAUGUGGGCGCUGUGAGCUUGCGUGGGUUUGCUUUGGUUGAUUCCUUUGGAAGAGCGCAGUCAGAGUUGAUGUCU
RNAcentral lists this ribosomal RNA (347 nucleotides) under Pseudo-nitzschia galaxiae. RNAcentral describes it as "LSU rRNA". It matches the Rfam family "Eukaryotic large subunit ribosomal RNA", at positions 185 to 544 of the family's 3401-position model. Lineage: Eukaryota; Bacillariophyta; Bacillariophyceae; Bacillariales; Bacillariaceae. The record is from RNAcentral.